UACGUAGGCAGCAAGCGUUGUUCGGAAUUACUGGGCGUAAAGAGUGUGUAGGCGGUGCUCUAAGUUCGGUGUGAAAUCUCCCGGCUCAACUGGGAGGGUGCGCCGGAAACUGGGGUGCUGGAGCGCGGGAGAGGAAAGCGGAAUUCCUGGUGUAGCGGUGAAAUGCGUAGAUAUCUGGAGGAACACCGGUGGCGAAGGCGGCAUCCUGGACCGGCAUUGACGCUGAGGCGCGAAAGCUAGGGGAGCAAACGGG
Molecule: ribosomal RNA, 253 nt
Filed under: uncultured bacterium
Lineage: Bacteria
Description: partial 16S ribosomal RNA
Rfam family: Bacterial small subunit ribosomal RNA
Source: RNAcentral